CCUACGGGCGGCUGCAGUGGGGAAUAUUGCACAAUGGGCGCAAGCCUGAUGCAGCCAUGCCGCGUGUGUGAAGAGGGCCUUCGGGUUGUAAAGCACUUUCAGCGGGGAGGAAGGCGGUGAGGUUAAUAACCUCAUCGAUUGACGUUACCCGCAGAAGAAGCACCGGCUAACUCCGCGCCAGCAGCCGCGGUAAUACGGAGGGUGCAAGCGUUAAUCGGAAUUACUGGGCGUAAAGCGCACGCAGGCGGUCUGUCAAGUCGGAUGUGAAAUCCCCGGGCUCAACCUGGGAACUGCAUUCGAAACUGGCAGGCUAGAGUCUUGUAGAGGGGGGUAGAAUUCCAGGUGUAGCGGUGAAAUGCGUAGAGAUCUGGAGGAAUACCGGUGGCGAAGGCGGCCCCCUGGACAAAGACUGACGCUCAGGUGCGAAAGCGUGGGGAGCAAACAGGAUUAGAUACCCCUGUAGUC
Molecule: ribosomal RNA, 465 nt
Filed under: uncultured Klebsiella sp.
Lineage: Bacteria; Pseudomonadati; Pseudomonadota; Gammaproteobacteria; Enterobacterales; Enterobacteriaceae
Description: bacterial SSU rRNA
Rfam family: Bacterial small subunit ribosomal RNA
Source: RNAcentral